GAAAGCUGAUGAGCACGCCGCGUGAGUGAAGAGGGUUUUCGGAUCGUAGAACUCUGUUGUUAGAGAAGAACAAGGACGUUAGUAGCUGAACGUCCCCUGCCGGUCUCCUGCCUCCCAGCCACGGCUAACUACGUGCCAGCAGCCGCGGUAAUA
This 153-nucleotide ribosomal RNA is filed under the name uncultured Enterococcus sp. Its description in RNAcentral is "partial 16S ribosomal RNA". It matches the Rfam family "Bacterial small subunit ribosomal RNA", at positions 378 to 525 of the family's 1533-position model. The record is from RNAcentral. Lineage: Bacteria; Bacillati; Bacillota; Bacilli; Lactobacillales; Enterococcaceae.